CCAACGGAUCUUUUAAGAUCCAUUGAUAAAAGAAACCCUUUUAGG
Molecule: non-coding RNA, 45 nt
Organism: Trichobilharzia regenti
Lineage: Eukaryota; Metazoa; Platyhelminthes; Trematoda; Strigeidida; Schistosomatidae
Source: Rfam